RNAcentral lists this ribosomal RNA (2873 nucleotides) under Burkholderia sp. FERM BP-3421. Its description in RNAcentral is "23S ribosomal RNA". It matches the Rfam family "Bacterial large subunit ribosomal RNA". The record is from RNAcentral. Lineage: Bacteria; Pseudomonadati; Pseudomonadota; Betaproteobacteria; Burkholderiales; Burkholderiaceae.
GGUCAAGCGAAUAAGUGCAUGUGGUGGAUGCCUUGGCGAUCACAGGCGAUGAAGGACGCGGUAGCCUGCGAAAAGCUACGGGGAGCUGGCAAACAAGCAUUGAUCCGUAGAUGUCCGAAUGGGGAAACCCACUCCUUCUGGAGUAUCCAUAGCUGAAUACAUAGGCUAUGUGAAGCGAACGCGGUGAACUGAAACAUCUAAGUAACCGCAGGAAAAGAAAUCAACCGAGAUUCCCAAAGUAGUGGCGAGCGAAAUGGGAUCAGCCUGUACUCUUUAUUUUUGUUGUUAGUCGAACGCUCUGGAAAGUGCGGCCAUAGCAGGUGAUAGCCCUGUAGACGAAAACAGCGAGAAAGAACUAAGUGUACGAAAAGUAGGGCGGGACACGUGAAAUCCUGUCUGAAGAUGGGGGGGGACCAUCCUCCAAGGCUAAAUACUCGUGAUCGACCGAUAGUGAACCAGUACCGUGAGGGAAAGGCGAAAAGAACCCCGGGAGGGGAGUGAAAUAGAUCCUGAAACCGCAUGCAUACAAACAGUCGGAGCCUGGAAACGGGUGACGGCGUACCUUUUGUAUAAUGGGUCAGCGACUUACGUUCAGUAGCAAGCUUAACCGUAUAGGGCAGGCGUAGCGAAAGCGAGUCCGAAUAGGGCGUUCAGUUGCUGGGCGUAGACCCGAAACCAAGUGAUCUAUCCAUGGCCAGGAUGAAGGUGCGGUAACACGUACUGGAGGUCCGAACCCACUAACGUUGAAAAGUUAGGGGAUGAGCUGUGGAUAGGGGUGAAAGGCUAAACAAACUUGGAAAUAGCUGGUUCUCUCCGAAAACUAUUUAGGUAGUGCCUCGUGUCUCACCUUCGGGGGUAGAGCACUGUCAUGGUUGGGGGGUCUAUUGCAGAUUACCCCGCCAUAGCAAACUCCGAAUACCGAAGAGUGCAAUCACGGGAGACAGACAUCGGGUGCUAACGUCCGGUGUCAAGAGGGGAAACAACCCAGACCGCCAGCUAAGGUCCCCAAAUAUAGCUAAGUGGGAAACGAAGUGGGAAGGCUAAAACAGUCAGGAGGUUAGAAGCAGCCACCCUUUAAAGAAAGCGUAAUAGCUCACUGAUCGAGUCGUCCUGCGCGGAAGAUGUAACGGGGCUAAGCUAUAUACCGAAGCUGCGGAUGCACACUAGUUGUGCAUGGUAGGAGAGCGUUCCGUAAGCCUGCGAAGGUGCGUUGAAAAGCGUGCUGGAGGUAUCGGAAGUGCGAAUGCUGACAUGAGUAGCGAUAAAGGGGGUGAAAGGCCCCCUCGCCGUAAGCCCAAGGUUUCCUACGCAACGUUCAUCGGCGUAGGGUGAGUCGGCCCCUAAGGCGAGGCAGAAAUGCGUAGCUGAUGGGAAGCAGGUCAAUAUUCCUGCACCAUUGUUAAAUGCGAUGGGGGGACGGAUCGCGGAAGGUUGUCCGGGUGUUGGAAGUCCCGGUCGCUGCAUUGGAGAAGGCACUUAGGCAAAUCCGGGUGCAGAAUUCAAGGGUGUGGCGCGAGCUUCUUAGGAAGCGAAGCAAUUGGAAGUGGUUCCAAGAAAAGCCUCUAAGCUUCAGUUUAACAAUGACCGUACCGCAAACCGACACAGGUGGGCGAGAUGAGUAUUCUAAGGCGCUUGAGAGAACUCGGGAGAAGGAACUCGGCAAAUUGGUACCGUAACUUCGGGAUAAGGUACGCCCUUGUAGCUUGAUGCCCUGCGCAAAGGGUGAAGGGUUGCAAUAAACUGGUGGCUGCGACUGUUUAAUAAAAACACAGCACUCUGCAAACACGAAAGUGGACGUAUAGGGUGUGACGCCUGCCCGGUGCCGGAAGAUUAAAUGAUGGGGUGCAAGCUCUUGAUUGAAGUCCCGGUAAACGGCGGCCGUAACUAUAACGGUCCUAAGGUAGCGAAAUUCCUUGUCGGGUAAGUUCCGACCUGCACGAAUGGCGUAACGAUGGCCACACUGUCUCCUCCGAGACUCAGCGAAGUUGAAGUGUUUGUGAUGAUGCAAUCUACCCGCGGCUAGACGGAAAGACCCCAUGAACCUUUACUGUAGCUUUGCAUUGGACUUUGAACCGAUCUGUGUAGGAUAGGUGGGAGGCUAUGAAACCGGAACGCUAGUUUCGGUGGAGCCGUCCUGAAAUACCACCCUGGUUUGUUUGAGGUUCUAACCUUGGUCCGUGAUCCGGAUCGGGGACAGUGCAUGGUAGGCAGUUUGACUGGGGCGGUCUCCUCCCAAAGCGUAACGGAGGAGUACGAAGGUACGCUAGGUACGGUCGGAAAUCGUGCUGAUAGUGCAAUGGCAUAAGCGUGCUUAACUGCGAGACCGACAAGUCGAGCAGGUGCGAAAGCAGGUCAUAGUGAUCCGGUGGUUCUGUAUGGAAGGGCCAUCGCUCAACGGAUAAAAGGUACUCUGGGGAUAACAGGCUGAUACCGCCCAAGAGUUCAUAUCGACGGCGGUGUUUGGCACCUCGAUGUCGGCUCAUCUCAUCCUGGGGCUGUAGCCGGUCCCAAGGGUAUGGCUGUUCGCCAUUUAAAGAGGUACGUGAGCUGGGUUUAAAACGUCGUGAGACAGUUUGGUCCCUAUCUGCCGUGGGCGUUGGAUAUUUGAAGGGGGCUGCUCCUAGUACGAGAGGACCGGAGUGGACGAACCUCUGGUGUACCGGUUGUCACGCCAGUGGCAUCGCCGGGUAGCUAUGUUCGGAAGAGAUAACCGCUGAAAGCAUCUAAGCGGGAAACUCGCCUUGAGAUGAGAUAUCCCUGGAGGCUUGACCUCCUUGAAGGGUCGUUCGAGACCAGGACGUUGAUAGGUCAGGUGUGUAAGCGCAGUAAUGCGUUCAGCUAACUGAUACUAAUUGCCCGUAAGGCUUGAUCCU